UCACCCUGUGACAUACCUAAACGUUGCUUCGGCGGGAAUAGACGGCCCCGUGAAACGGGCCGCCCCCGCCAGAGGACCCUUAACUCUGUUUCUAUAAUGUUUCUUCUGAGUAAAACAAGCAAAUAAAUUAAAACUUUCAACAACGGAUCUCUUGGCUCUGGCAUCGAUGAAGAACGCAGCGAAAUGCGAUAAGUAAUGUGAAUUGCAGAAUUCAGUGAAUCAUCGAAUCUUUGAACGCACAUUGCGCCCGCCAGUAUUCUGGCGGGCAUGCCUGUUCGAGCGUCAUUACAACCCUCAGGCCCCCGGGCCUGGCGUUGGGGAUCGGCGGAGCCUCUCUGUGGGCACACGCCGUCCCCCAAAUACAGUGGCGGUCCCGCCGCAGCUUCCAUCGCGUAGUAGCUAACACCUCGCGACUGGAGAGCGGCGCGGCCACGCCGUAAAACACCCAACUCUUCUGAAGUUGACCUCGAAUCAGGUAGGAAUACCCGCUGAACUUAAGCAUAUCAAUAA
Molecule: ribosomal RNA, 510 nt
Filed under: Acremonium sp. E9006d
Lineage: Eukaryota; Fungi; Ascomycota; Sordariomycetes; Hypocreales; Bionectriaceae
Description: eukaryotic LSU rRNA
Rfam family: 5.8S ribosomal RNA (bases 132-285)
Source: RNAcentral